UUUUAAUCCCCCCCUCCCCCAUAGAUAUACAUAAAGUCACAAACACAAACGACUAGGCUUUGCUUCCUCGACCCACGUCUACCCUUAAUUCGCUGCCCUCAUCUCCUUUUAUGGCUAUUUAAAUAACCCAUUUGUUUAAUUGCAGUAAAGUCUUGUUCGGUAUAUUGCAACCAAAGAAGCCAAAGACUAUAUUUUCUUCUUGCUUCACUGUUGUAGGAUUGUAUAAAAUAUGUGUUAAUCAACUUGUGUUCAACAAGGAGGAAGCAGUGAAAAUUAUUUAUAAUGUUUUUGCACGAGUUACUUUGUGAUUUGGUGGAAGAUGAACGAAGAGUCAAAGAGAUAUCAAACAAGAUUUAAGUGCUCCUCCGUUCAAAGAUCAUUGAAGAAGGCUACCAAGCAUAAAUAUAGAUCAUUUAAGUUUGAACCUACAUAGUUUUGUAUUAUUUUCAAAGUAGUAUGACCUCAACUUUGUACUUUUAAAUGAAGUUUAUUUUGUCUUUUGGUUCAUCGUUGUAAUGUUUAGGAUUUAUGGGAUUUCUCUCUUCUUUAAUAGAUUCAAAUCAUU
Molecule: long non-coding RNA, 565 nt
Organism: Lactuca sativa (garden lettuce)
Lineage: Eukaryota; Viridiplantae; Streptophyta; Magnoliopsida; Asterales; Asteraceae
Source: RefSeq, a predicted model, not a curated record